UUCUCUUUGGUAGCACAUCUACCAAACUGGAACGACAUGGAGAAGAUUCACAUGGCCUUUGUGCACGGAUGACAUGCAAGUUGUGUUUUUUUUU
This 94-nucleotide small nuclear RNA is filed under the name Erinaceus europaeus (western European hedgehog). Lineage: Eukaryota; Metazoa; Chordata; Mammalia; Eulipotyphla; Erinaceidae. The record is from RNAcentral.